Molecule: long non-coding RNA, 245 nt
Organism: Coregonus clupeaformis (lake whitefish)
Lineage: Eukaryota; Metazoa; Chordata; Actinopteri; Salmoniformes; Salmonidae
Exons: 3
Source: RefSeq, a predicted model, not a curated record
GCGUGAUGAUGCAAGAGGAUGGUGGUUGAAGUUGCGAAUAGCCUACCAAUAAGCACAUUCUUUUUCAAUUUAUUAAGUCUGGCAGUAGCCAACUAUCAGAUGCAGAGAAUCUCUAUUUUGGCUGCUGCUGACAACAACUGCAUGAACCAGCCUAGACAACAACCCAAACUGUACUGUUCCAUAAAGAAGUCAGCCAGAGUUGAUACCAAGAUUGACGUGGGCCACCAUUCAAACAAACAGAUGCC